Molecule: ribosomal RNA, 303 nt
Filed under: uncultured bacterium
Lineage: Bacteria
Description: partial 16S ribosomal RNA
Rfam family: Bacterial small subunit ribosomal RNA
Source: RNAcentral
AGCAGUAGCCGCGGUAAAACAGAGGGUGCGAGCGUUAAUCGGAUUUACUGGGCGUAAAGCGUGCGUAGGCGGCUUCUUAAGUCGGAUGUGAAAUCCCUGAGCUUAACUUAGGAAUUGCAUUCGAUACUGGGAAGCUAGAGUAUGGGAGAGGAUGGUAGAAUUCCAGGUGUAGCGGUGAAAUGCGUAGAGAUCUGGAGGAAUACCGAUGGCGAAGGCAGCCAUCUGGCCUAAUACUGACGCUGAGGUACGAAAGCAUGGGGAGCAAACAGGAUUAGAUACCCGGGUAGUCCCUGUCUCUUAUAU